Molecule: transfer RNA, 69 nt
Filed under: Bubo scandiacus (Snowy owl)
Lineage: Eukaryota; Metazoa; Chordata; Aves; Strigiformes; Strigidae
Description: tRNA-Met
Source: RNAcentral
AGUAGGGUCAGCUAAUAAAGCUAUCGGGCCCAUACCCCGAAAAUGAUGGCUUAACCCCAUCCCCCACUA